CUUUGGCGUAAAGUAUGGCGAAAUUUCAGGCUGGAGGAAAGCAAGGAUCAAGUCUGCAUUUAAUGUUAUCGUGCAAUUGUUGUUAUGACGAGAAGUACGCGCAGCUUUAUGCUACCGAGCAGGAACAAAAUGUGGCUUAUUGGGAAUCUGUCAGAUUUACAUCCAAUCAAAAUGCUGAUGCUGUGUGUUUCAAGUCAAGCUUUUUCAUAUUUGGUGCUUAAUCGCAUUGCUUGCUGACAGUGUUUCAUGGUCAAUGAGAUAAUACGUGAUUUUGUAGGCUAUUGUAAAAAAAGAAGAGCAUUGAAAAUUUUCAACUAAAGAAGGAUGGCUGCUUUGCACAGUUUGACAUUAUGCUGUAGCUGACUGUUAUUCUGAUGGGUUCUACUCCCUGGUAAGGCGUGAGCAUUGAUGUUGGCUUUUUCCCAUUGCAAGUGCCUACAAUCUGUGAUGCACCUUGAAUAACAUUCUUGUGAUAAGAUGGUGAAAUGAUUUAUGGGUUUGGAAUAAUAACAAUUUCCUUCUUUACUCUUUGAACUACAGAUUCCUUAUCACCUAGGUGAAAUCAGCAAGCAUAUGUAUAGUUAAAAACCAUCCAAAGGAAUGGGGCAAAUCAGCCAAAGUUCAAAAAGCCAUUUAAUGACACUGUACAUAUUUGAAGUAAUUUCUUGGAGGGAGCAUUAAAAUUUACUUUAAUGUAAAUGUUGAAUUAUGCUGCAUGUUAACAUAACAUUUGUAAAGUUCCUAACUCUUUUGGAAAAAAAAAAAAAAUAUUUGUUGAAUGCUAUUUUUACAUUGUUUUACAUCUGAUUUGAAUCUUCUGAAAUUUUCAUCUAACAAAGUGAAAAUAUGUUGCCAAUAUUAAAUAAGUUGAUCAUUUUGUUUCACAUUAUUACAUAUAUUAAGGCGUAAGUUUUUUAUUAUAGUGGCAUAAUUUUUUUAGAACUUCAUUGCUUUGCUUGCAUAUGUUUAUACAGUAAGUGCCCUCUAACCAUCAUGGGAUUGGUAAUUAAACAGACUGAGAAUAAAAUGGUUUAUCAAACCAAACUAUAUUGAGUACAGCAAACAUCACUUCACAAGAUUAUAACAGUAUUUAUUUGUUAUAGAUAAGUGAAAAGAUUACAGGAUCAGCUAAACGUAAUUUAUUCUACACUGCUGCUAUUGUUUUGCAGUUAUGGUUAUAAUAUAUAUUAUGUUACAGUUACAUAUGUGACAUCUCCUUUUUUUUUGAUAGAAAUAAAAAGAUUAUACAUACUGUUUUAAAUAAUAAGGUUUUUUAACAGUCCUACCAGGUUGAGUAACAUAGUUAUGUCAGUUUUCAAAAUUUGGUGAUACAACACCUCUUUGAGAAUUUGGUAGCACAACACUUCUGUUGCAUGCAGGAGAAUUUACAGGCACAUCUGAAUUUGGAGUAUACUUUUACCAAUCUCAGGUUCAUUCACAUUUUCAUGGCUUUCAUUAUCAUCCAGUGGGUGAUCGGUUAACAAACAAAUCGGACAACGAACACUUUCACGAAAGAUUUUUGUGUUCGGAUAACGAAUUAAAAUAAAUUCUAACGAACACUUCUCGGCUCUUGGACCAUAAUGUGCAGGGUUGUCAAACCCAACGGACCAAAAAUAGUUUUUCAUCUCACUUGAAUUAUGUUGCUUGCCUUAUAAAACUUCAAAGUUCUAAAAUGGGGGAAAAAAAAAAAAAAAAAAUUCCAAUAGAAUAUUUGUAGCCAAAGUAGGCCAUCAGUUUCAGUUUUGAAUGGCAAUAAAUAUUCUAUUGGAAAAAAAAAAUCAUUCUGAUUUCAUUUUGAGUGCCUUCCCCCCCCCAUUUGUUCAUUCACCGUCCCAUACGUAGUCUUGAAUGACUAAUUCCAAACGGCAGACUCCUUUCCUCUCACUGUGAAACAAUAUGCGUCUUCUUUCCCUCCCAGCUCCUUUUAUUCAUUUAUUCAUCUCGCUGAUCCAGCAAAUUUAUAAUAGCGAACGGAAGGAUAGUUACCCUUCAUUUAGAAGCAAACCACGACACAUUAUUUACCUCAGAAAAUGCAUGAUCAGCACUUUUUUUGCAAUAACACAUUCGAGGCUGUAGCAGUGUUUGAAAAUACCACUACUGUAAUUAUCACCUAUGUUAUUUCGUACAAAAGAAUGUUUUAAAAAAUUGAAAUAGUUGCCCAAAGUUUAAAAAAGUCGGCACCGCUUUUUUAAAAAUGGUCAUUUUGGUCCCUUUUUUUUGCAUUAAAAAGUCGCCAUUGGCAACCCUGAAUGUAGUAAUAACACAUAUGUGGUGCUAACGUGAACUAUAUCAUGUAGCAGUGAAGUAUGAUUUGGUUUCCCACAUUGUUACAUAUCGCAGCAUAGCUAGUGUGCACCGAAACUUUGUCAAUUGUGUACGCUAGUUGGUUUCUGUUCCUCUAAAUUUUUGCAUGCGUUUUUCUGAACCCUUUAUAAAAAACUGAAAAUCUGACAAUAGUAUGGGUCCCAAAAAGUGUGGAGUGCCAAGAACUGUGCUCGCCAUAAAAAAUAAGCAAGAGAUUAUAGCCAAAGUAGAGAGUGGACAGAAGAUGGCUUAAACAGGUCUACAAUAUGCACCAUCUUAGCUAAGAAGUAUAUCAUCAAGAAGACUCAAGCAUCUAAAGGAGUAAUGAAAAUCACAUCUGCGAAGCAAAGAAGUGCCUUCCAUGAAAAAAUGGAGAGGUUUUAGUUUGGAUAAAUGAACAGGAAAUGAAAAGAGAUGCAACUAGUAUGGCUAUCAUUUAAGAAAAGGCUAGAGAAAUUUUUGAGAAACUGAAAGAACAAACUCCAGGUUCGUUAUCCAAGGAGUUAGAAUUCAAGGCUACUACUGGUUGGUUAUUUAAAAGGAGACCUGGAAUUAAACAUGUAUUAAUGCAUGGUGAGUCUGCUAGUGCAGAUAAAGAAGAAGCUGAGAAGUACUGUCUCAAAUUUCAAGAAUUCAUUGAAACAGAAGGGUAUCGUCCACAACAAAUAUUUAAUCCUAAUGAAAUUGGUUUGUUUUGGAAGUGCAUGCCGAACUGUACCUACAUCACGAAAGAUUAGAAAAGUGUUCCUGGGCAUAAACCCAUGAAAGACCAAUUGACGUUACUUUUGAGAGCUAACGCUAGUGGUGAUAUGAAGCUUAAACCACUUUUCGUUUACCACUCUGAGAAUCCUAGAGCAUUAAAAAAAUCCAUAAUCAAAACAAGACUGCCAGUAAUGUGGAAAUCGAAUCAGAUGGCAUGGGACAUUGACUCUUUUCAAAGAAUGGCUGUUUAAAGUUUGUGCCCCGAGCAUCAAGGACUACCUUAAUACCAAUGACUUGCCACUGAAAGCACUGCUACUAUUGGGCAAUGCACCAGGAGACCCAAAGGGCCUUGAAGAUAAUUUGCUGCCAGACUUUCCCGGGUUGACCAUUCAGUUUCAACCUCCGAAUAUGACUUUGCUGAUUCAGCCAAUGGAUCAGGAGGUUAUUGUGGGCUUCAAGAAAUUGUAUGCAAGAAAUUGUAUUUUCAAGAAAAUGCUAUUAAUCACUUCUGGAAAAUCCUGAAAAAGACAGAAAAGCAAUCGACAUUGGACAUGUUCUUUAACGCCCCAUAAACAAAAAAUGAAAAGGACUGAUUAACAUACAAGACUGUAUGUAUUAUUUUUUAAAUAAACUUACUAAGAAAGUAUACAUCCCUUUUUUAAAUGUAAUUUUUAGGGUCUCCAGAACGAACUAAUCGAUAUCACAAAAAAAUCUAUGGUAAAUUGAUGAUCGGUUAACAAACAAAUGGGAUAGCGAACAUAGUCAUGUAACAGAUUAUGUUUGUUAACUGAUCACCCACUGUAAUUGUUUUGCACUAUGAAAUCUUUUCAUUUAGUUCCUUUAAGAAUGUCUCUCUUUUUUCCCUUCUGCAAUUCUUCCAUCUGUUCUUACAAUCCUGUAUGAGUGUGGUCUUUCUACUGCAUCUAUAAUUUUCCCACUUUUUUUUUAGUUUUUUUCCAUCUUAUUUGUAUACAUCAUUGGUCCAGGAACUACCUAGGAUUAAUGAUCUUAUAUUCCUAACAUAACAUCUUUUUUGUAAAGCUUGUUUCUUCAGUAAAUGUUUUUGCUCUUUGUAGUGUUUAGUUAGGAUGAUGUUCUCUUUUACAGGCACCAAUCCAUGAACUCUUUUCCCAAACUGUUUUGUAACUUCUACACUUGACACAUCUCCCAAAUGUCUAAUUUCAACACAUUUGUUAAGGUAGUACUGCCCAUUAGAUAUGCCUAUUGCUAAGGUAGUACUGCCUCACUGCCUAGAAAGUAAGAGAGUUCUGUUUCCAGUACUUCCCAUGGACUAUUAGGUAUUUCUUUAGAUAUCAUUGGUUCUUUACUUUUAGCUUUUCAGAAACUCAAACAUAUUGGACAAUUCAGAACCAAAUCUUAAUUUCUUUUGACAUUUCUGGCCAAUCCAUUUGCUUUUGAAAUUUCUUUGAAAUUAAAAUAUAGUUUUGCCAGCUCUGGGACCGUACGUUAUUUAUCUGGCCAUCCAUUUUAAAUUAAUUUUCUUAAAACUUAGUUUGUCUUUUUCUGUUUCCUGUUGAAAAAUUUCUAAUGCAUCAGCUAUAAAAAGUUCUUUUCCUGAUUUAUAUUUUAUCUCAAACUGAUAUGGCUGUAAUCUUAACACAUUCUUUGUAAUCUUGCUGGACAUUUAAUUAAUGGCCUUUUUCAAAAUUGAUGCCAGUGGUUUAUGGUCACUUUCAACUAUAAAACACUUACCAAAUAUGUACUGGUGAAAUUUCUCAUAUGCAAAUACAAUAGCUGAAGUUUUCUUUUUUAUUUGAGCAUAAUUCUUUGGUGUAUCCUUAUAUAUACCAUUGGUAAAUUAUUCUGUAAAAAGACUAUUCGUAGUCCUUGAGGUGCAUCUACAGGUAAAAUUAUUGGCAUGUUCAGAGGCGUAGCUAAGAUUUUCAGCGCCCGGGGACACCUAAAGAUUUUGCGACCCUUUCUGUGUUCCAAGAAUGGAAAACAUUUCACUCUGAAAUGUGUAUCAUCAAUUUGGCGUCCCCUGGAUGCUGCGCGCGGGGACGGAUGUCCCCCCUUGCACCACCCUAGCUACGCCACUGAGCAUGUUUGUAUUGUACUGUGAAAAAUGGUUUAUUUACUAAGAGAUUUUUUUUUUAGCGUAUUUAAUGCUUUUUCACAUACUGCAUUCCAGUUCCAGACAAUCUGCUUUUUUCAACAGAUCUUCUUACACGAUACAUUAGCUAUAAAUCAAGAAAGGAAAGAACUCAAGAAAAAGAAAUGCUAAUUUUCACUGUGAAAUUUGCAGCAAGAACUUUACAACAAAUUUUUCUUUGCGUCGGCAUCAUGCAAUUCAUAAUCCUGCAUUCCAUAAAUAUGAGUGUAGUGUGUGUUUUCGAAGUUUUAACUGGUUUGACAAUAUGAGAGCUCACAUGCAGCUAGUUCAUGGUUUUCGUUUUGAGUCAAAGAGGAAACGUACUAGGGAACUCUUAGAUCAAGGGGGGACAGUUUGAGUUUCAGGAUAAUUUUCAGUGUGAUUGUUUAAUUUGAUAUGCAAAGUUAUCAUUGUGAUUUGAUUGUGAUUUAAAAAUCUUAUUGUCCCUUGAGACAAUUUCCUACUUAAAUGUGUGAGGCUAUCAGUCUUCCACAGAUAAUAAUAAUAACAUUUCCCAAGCAUGAGCAAAAUAUGCAUUUAAGAGCAUAGUCGAGCAAACUGAACUUUGCAACUUUUGUAAAUUCUUUUCAUCAAAGAUUUUAAAUGAGGUUUUUGUAAUGACAGUUAAAAAGGAAUAGCAUUUUGUUACCAUUUUAUCAUUUCUCGACUCAAAGGUAUAGAAGAGCCAACAGAAAUAAUUUUUUUUUUUGUUAUUUCUUCAGUGUACUUUACAAGUACUUUUGGUAGCCAUUUUAAAGCAGUUUUGUUAAAGAAUCUACAAAUAGCCAUUUUAUAUUUUUAAUUCUUAAUACUUUGAAUUAUAUGCUUAAUAUUGAAGCCUGUGAAUAUUAGAACCCUAGAUGUGUUAGGGCUCAUUCUUACAUAAUUAAAUUUAUUUAAAAAAUUUUUACACAAUAUUUUGUGUAAACUCUUGUGUUUACAUCAUGGGUUUGUGAAAAAUAAAUGCUUUAUAUGUCA
This is a long non-coding RNA of Stegodyphus dumicola, 6097 nucleotides long. RefSeq lists it as uncharacterized. The record is from RefSeq and is a predicted model, not a curated record. Lineage: Eukaryota; Metazoa; Arthropoda; Arachnida; Araneae; Eresidae.